GAUGAACGCUGGCUACAGGCUUAACACAUGCAAGUCGAGGGGAAACGACGGGGAAGCUUGCUUCCCCGGGCGUCGACCGGCGCACGGGUGAGUAACGCGUAUCCAACCUGCCUCUGACUGAGGGAUAACCCGUCGAAAGUCGGCCUAAUACCUCAUGGUAUCUUCUUCGGGCAUCCAACGACGAUUAAAGAUUUCAUCGGUCAGGGAUGGGGAUGCGUCUGAUUAGCUUGUUGGCGGGGUAACGGCCCACCAAGGCUACGAUCAGUAGGGGUUCUGAGAGGAAGGUCCCCCACAUUGGAACUGAGACAAGGUCCAAACUCCUACGGGAGGCAGCAGUGAGGAAUAUUGGUCAAUGGGCGAGAGCCUGAACCAGCCAAGUGGCGUGCAGGAAGACGGCCCUAUGGGUUGUAAACUGCUUUUAUGCGGGGAUAAAGUGAGGGACGUGUCCCUCAUUGCAGGUACCGCAUGAAUAAGGACCGGCUAAUUCCGUG
Molecule: ribosomal RNA, 491 nt
Filed under: uncultured bacterium
Lineage: Bacteria
Description: partial 16S ribosomal RNA
Rfam family: Bacterial small subunit ribosomal RNA
Source: RNAcentral